RNA transcript from Triticum dicoccoides, 3921 nucleotides. RefSeq lists it as uncharacterized. Lineage: Eukaryota; Viridiplantae; Streptophyta; Magnoliopsida; Poales; Poaceae. The record is from RefSeq and is a predicted model, not a curated record. The transcript has 8 exons.
GUGCAGCCUCCUGGAAAGCCCAUUGGCCCCCCAAUCCCCACAGCCGCCCGCCCGCACCUCUCCCGCCUCCGGUCCUCCCUUCUCUCAGCCGCCACCCCACGAACCCUAGCCGUGCCCUCCUGCAUCUGUCCUCCUCCCCCUUCCUGGUCCGUCCCAAGCCCCUCCUCGUCUCAUGAGCUAGCCGAGGAAAAGAGGGGUGACGCGACGACCUGGUCGUCGGCCGGUGGGGAGCCUCGUAGAGGCGGUGGCGGAGACGACCCUAGAUGGUGCCCCGGCCAAGAUCUGGACAGGGUGCCUCAACCUCGUCUUCCUCUUCCACCUACUCGCUGAUAGAGAGACGGCAGCAGCGGUGGGAGGAGCCUAGGCGUAGAGGAGAGAAGUGGACGAGGGGGGUGCAAAGGCAGGAGAUGGGGGUCGCCGGAUGAGCACAGUCGCACAGGGCCUGAUCCCGCCGCUGCUAGAGCAGAGUGGAGGACCACAUGGCCCGAUGGGGUGGCUGGGAGCGUGCGGAUUCUGGCUCCCAAGCAGGGAAUGCAGUGGUGCUGGCCUCUCCUCUCCCUGCGCCUUUGUCCUGCGUCGUCACUACCGCCACGGCCUUGCUCGCCAUUGACCUCCCCAAGUGCUUCUCUCCACAAAUGGUGCCGCCAUGUCCAGAUCAAUUCAAGCGCCAGGAAAGUACAACACGUGCAUAACUUGUUUGAGGAAAUUCCAUCUGGAAGCAAUAUUUGAUCAUGACUUGUGUUCUUGAUGCUUCAUCUGCGGCUAGCUGACUACAACAUCACAUAUGUAAAGGGAAACCAUCGUAAGAAACACAGGUAAAAAGGCAUUUUCCUUGUUCUUAUAGUUUUGGAUCAAAGUUCACAUUUUACCUUGAGUGACUCUUUUUUUUUGUUAUAGAAUGGAUUCAACAAUAAUCAAUAAGGAAGUGCAAACUGAGAGGGGUGGGAAAAAUAACCUAAGUAAAGAGCUAAUAUGAAAUGCUACUUUCCAGUGAUUUGUUGUGACCUGUUAAUUUUUUAGUAUGGAGCUUGAAGUUUUAUUGCAGAUAGGAAGUUUCAUUUUAUUCUUAUCCACAUGCUUACUAAAUUUACAUUUUUAUUUCAUUUCUGGAAAGAGGCAACCUUAAAUAAUUUAGAGGACUCUUCAGAUUAUAAGAGAAAAGCCAUAUAGGUCAUAAAUGCAUAGGCAUUCCAAAAAAAGGCACAAAAAUUGAGCUAGAAGGUAUGUAUAAAUUCAUGUGAAACUGAGACAUAGGCAAGCAUACAUAGGAAUUUUGCAGGAUCAUUCCUACGAUCUGGAGGGCCAUUAUAGCCAGAUUUACCUAACGUCUCUAAGAAAAUCUUUUGAAACUCGGACCAUCCAGAUAUAUCAACAUGGAAAAGCCUGCUGAAAGAAACUUUUGUAGCUGAAGAUGCUUGAUUAUACUUCCUAUGGGCUUGUUUUGAAAAGAAUUUUUCCUGGCAUGCCAUAUGUGAGCCCCCAACCAUCUCUCUCUCUCUCCCGCACUCAUUUUCUCUCUCUCACGUUUUGCCUUUGAGGCUGUAGAUCUAAGCACUAGCUGUUUGUAAAAAUGCUCAAGGUGGGCUGCUUAGAGGAGGGCAGUAUGUUCUACAGUUUCAGUUAUAUGAUUACAUACAACUAAGCAAAAGUUUACAUGAUUCUAUAAUUAUUGUUGGAGAUUUUUACUCACAGUAAAUUUCUUCAAAGGAUCUGUUUAAAGACAACAGGCAUAUAUUUGUACAGAGAUCAUAUUAUUUUGAUACCCAUGUAAGUUCUCUUAUCUCUUUGAUGUGCAUCUUCUUUAGGAACUUACCUCGUUGCAAUUUCUGGUCAUUCUUUGCAUAGCUAAAUCGGUAUCAAGAAUAUUGUAUUGUUUAUUUCUUACCAUGUCUGAUCGACUAAUAUGGCUACGUCUAUGCAAUACUUUUAUAGAUGAAAUUGGUGGUUCAUGGAGACCCAAGGUGCACUGACAGAAGAUAUCAGAGGAGCAGAGGAAAAUGCAAGUGUGUAUGUGUGAAAAAUUAUUGCUUUAACUCAAGAUCAGUUGUUCGUUCUUUCAAGCGCUAUGUUGCUUACUCAAAUGUUUGUGGCGAUUGUAUCCUUGUGCCAUGAAUAUUUUUACUUAGCAGAUCAAUAUAAACAUAUUGGCUAUCUAUUUACCAAUUCUGAAUUUAAAGCACUUUAUUUUAUGGCCUUGAGUAAAAGUUCAGUCAUUGUUGGCUGGAAGACAUCUUCAAUACGCCGUCAACACGAGCUUACCAAGGUAAUGAUCUAUUUAUUAUCAGCCCAUAUCUGGUUUGUAACAGGGUUAUUAUGUUUCAAAAUCCUCUGGCAUCAGAAAGGAGAUUUUGUGGAUGAUGUAAGAUAUCCACAUGUUGUAUAUGUGGAAAAACCAAAGGCUCGGGAUGUUGAUUUUUCGGAUGAAAGGAUUUAUCAGGCAAAAACUACAAGUGAAAUGGAAGAAGUAACGCUCAAAAGCCUGAAUAGAAUUCCUUGGCAAAGGGUAGAUGUUAGCUUCAAGAGAAGUAGACAAUGGAUUUUUGCCCAUAGCACCAUUCAGGUCCAGUUGUCGUUGCCUUCACUUGCUUUGUCGUUUACCCAUCUGUCAGCUCGCCGAUCCCCUGACUUGCUGUCAAGAUUCUAGGAUAUUAACAUUUGCAGCCAUACAUUGGUUUCAAUGGUGACAGAUUUCUGUCAAUCCCACAGAGAUAAUUUAAUUCAAGACUAGCAAAUACAUUGAGAUCGAGGAGAGAGCAAGCCGUUGCAGAGGAGAGGGGAUACGAGGGUGGGCGGAGGUCAGGCAUUGCUAACAGAUUUGCGGCGGAGUGGGAGAGGUGACGCCGGCCGGCCGGCGCCUCACCACCGGCUCCUGUUUGGCGGUGGCAAAGAGAAGGGUGCCGAGGAUGUGUUGCUCUAUGCAUGGCUGUUGAAGUACAUCAUCGUUAUGAUGUGUAUGGUUUCUCUAUUUUCAGCCCUACUGCUCCAGAUCCCAAAUCCCAUGACCAUGCCCCCACCUCUCCUUCGUUGAAUGAAGGGAGUCUGGUUGCUAAAAAGUGACUUUUCUUAAUCAGUAUGUAUGGCCCCUCUGCACAUGCCGUUUCUUCGUAUUUAAGAGGCCCUCAAGCUUUGUCAGUUUUCUGAUAGAUAUGGAAUUUUAAUUUGAUAGUCCCAACAACGGUGGGUACUGAUGGAGCUAUCUAUUAUUUAUUGUCAAUCUGUAAUACUUUUGUCAGCUUCUAGCAUGUGGUUGCUCUACCAGAGUGCAAUUUUCUCUGCGUGGCAUACACCAGUUACCAUUAGUUGAUAUGUUUGUUGAAGUUUUAUUACAAGUUAAAUAAAUGUGUAGUGUGGCAAACUGAUUAUUAUAAUUUGAUAAUGUCAGGCGCCGAUGGCUUUAUAGAUAUGUAAAUAAAAUACCUUUAAGUAAAACUAAGCAUUUAAUUAUUGUUAUGUUAUGCUAUUGAUUUCACCUGACUUUAUGUCGGCCGAUUAGUUCUGAAGGAUUCCACAUCGGCUAAUUUAGAUUAUUUUACUAGAGUAUUAGAAGAAGUUCCUGAUAUAUGUACUUAGAGCAUUUGCUGAGAUUUGAUGCAAAAUAUUGAUGACCAGGCAUUAUACUGCGCAUAAGCACAAUUUUUUAGUUUUUAUUUUUAUUGUUGCAGCAGCUUUUCUAUAGCAAUAGCCAAAUAGUGUGACAUAACACUUCCAUUUUCACAGGCCAUAACACAUCUUUACAUGUAAGUUUGUUCUCUAGAUAGUUCUCUUUCCAAGAUUUUCAUAUCAUAUUUGUCGUGGGAUCUGACUGCUUUACCAUAUUUUCCUGGUGUGGACGAUGUUAUAGAGUGAGCUACCAUCACUUCUCAUUACUGACUGUAAUCAAUAUAUAUGUGUUUAUGCCAUAAAAGAUGGACAUUUGUCGAA